GGCGAGUGAAGCGGCAACAGCUCAAAUUUGAAAUCUGGCCUCUUUUGGGGUCCGAGUUGUAAUUUGCAGAGGGCGCUUUGGCGUUGGCAGCGGUCCAAGUUCCUUGGAACAGGACGUCACAGAGGGUGAGAAUCCCGUACGUGGUCGCUGGCCUUCGCCGUGUAAAGCCCCUUCGACGAGUCGAGUUGUUUGGGAAUGCAGCUCUAAAUGGGAGGUAAAUUUCUUCUAAAGCUAAAUACUGGCCAGAGACCGAUAGCGCACAAGUAGAGUGAUCGAAAGAUGAAAAGCACUUUGGAAAGAGAGUCAAACAGCACGUGAAAUUGUUGAAAGGGAAGCGCUUGCAGCCAGACUUGCCUGUAGUUGCUCAUCCGGGCUUUUGCCCGGUGCACUCUUCUAUAGGCAGGCCAGCAUCAGUUUGAGCGGUUAGAUAAAGGUCUCUGUCAUGUACCUCUCUUCGGGGAGAACUUAUAGGGGAGACGACAUGUAACCAGCCCAGAUUGAGGUCCGCGCAUUUGCUAGGAUGCUGGCGUAAUGGCUGUAAGCGGCCCGUCUUGAAACACGGACCAAGGAGUCUAACAUCUAUGCGAGUGUUUGGGUGUCAAGCCCGAGCGCGCAAUGAAAGUGAACGGAGGUGGGAACCCCUCGGGGUGCACCAUCGACCGAUCCUGAUGUCUUCGGAUGGAUUUGAGUAAGAGCAUAGCUGUUGGGACCCGAAAGAUGGUGAACUAUGCUUGAAUAGGGUGAAGCCAGAGGAAACUCUGGUGGAGGCUCGCAGCGGUUCUGACGUGCAAAUCGAUCGUCAAA
RNAcentral lists this ribosomal RNA (804 nucleotides) under Thyrostroma tiliae. Its description in RNAcentral is "Thyrostroma sp. CS-2019f partial large subunit ribosomal RNA". It matches the Rfam family "Eukaryotic large subunit ribosomal RNA", at positions 88 to 909 of the family's 3401-position model. Lineage: Eukaryota; Fungi; Ascomycota; Dothideomycetes. RNAcentral also lists the same sequence under 2 other names. The record is from RNAcentral.